AACAGGUCACUUACAACCACACCGUCAGUCUGUGGGCCACCAGCGUACGUUGUUGUCAGUAUCUAGUUCGGUUUCCGUAAUUCGUUCGUUUUUUUAAUAAUCGAGAUUGUUUGUUUUAUAAAUUUUAAUUUAUCGUAAUGUUUGUUGUUGUUUGCGUAGUGCGCAUCUGUGCGGGUUGAUCGCUGUGAUACAGUUAUGUUCAAACGAUGAUUCGUUAACAAUAUAAUUUCUAAACCGGUUUUUUUUUUCAAAUCCCUUUCUUUAAAAAUUUCUAUCUUAGAUAAUGAAUAUCACAAUCAUUAUCACAGAAUCAGUAAUGUAACCUGUUAUACACGAGAUAACGUACUAUUUCUGAUACUCGUGUGAACUUAAUUAUAUAUUUGACGUCUUGCAAAUUAACAUAAUAUAUUUUCAUCAUUGAUUACCUUAAGUUUUCAAAAUGAGUAUAAUGAUGCGGCCUAGAUCGUCAGAUUCGACGCCAAUUUGUAGAUGUAGAGUAUUGUACCUGGGCUCAGCAGUACCACAUAUUACGAAAGAUGGACUGCAGGGAAUCCAGGAACCCUUAAAGGAACUUUAUCCCGAGCAAGGGGCAAUCGGUGCUCGAGGGAUAGAUUCAUGGCUAAGUGUAUGGAGUAAUGGCCUUUUGUUAGAAAACGUUGAUGAAAACCACAAGAAAAUUACAAGGUUUUUUCCAAUAGAGUCUUUGCACUAUUGUGCAGCUGUUAGGUUUGUACUUGUACCUGAAAAGUCAAACAAUUCAACUCAACCUAGGUUUUUGCCGUUGGACUCACCUUUUGCUCGAUCACCGAACCCAAACCAUCCACCUUUAUUCGCUGCUAUACUACGCCGAACAUCUGGUAUAAAAGUUCUUGAGUGCCACACAUUUAUUUGUAAACGUGAAAUGGCAGCUAAUGCCCUCGUAAGGUGUUGUUUCCAUGCGUAUGCUGACUCUUCUUACGCUAAACAGGCAAUAGAAACCAAUGGAGGCACUACUAACGGUAGUAUAUAUGGCACGGUGCGCACAAAUCAAUCAAUGGGAAAUAACACGAUCGAAAAAGUCGAAGGUUGGAGGCGCAUGACCAAUAAUGCUGGCAGUACAUUAACUUUAAAUAGUGCCCACUCGAAUGGCAUAACGACUUUGGAAGCGACUACUAAUUCUAUUGAUGACUUGUCUGAAUGCAAUGGAGAUGAAAAUCACAAAGUGUGGGUGGGUAGCACCAAAGACUUAUCGAAUGAUAAAGAUGAUUUGUACAACGGUGGUAAUACGAUGCGAAGUUCUCGGUCCAACCGACCUCGUCAGAUAGUGGGUGCCCCACCACCACCUCCUCCACCACCACCUGUAAGAGACGAAAAAUCCUCAAAGAAAAACAAAGAAAGACCACGGCGAAAAAGAACACCGACGGGUAGUAGAGUCGGAAGUCGAGAAGACCUUUAUUCCCCAUCUAUUAAUGGAGAGGGACCAAUGAUGAGACCCACGAAUGGUCGCUCUUCUGUGUCGUUGAAUGGUACCAUCGUUAGCAGAGGCCCAUUUAAGGGAUUUAUGUCUCCUAUACCGCCACCUCCUCCACCACCCAACCAUAUUUAUUCAAAUGGUGGUACUAUGAUGAGGCCUAUAAACGGAUUUCAUCAUCCUCACCCUGUAAUGUUACAUCAUCCACCUCCACCACCACCACCUAUAAUGAUGGUACCUACUACCCUUCCACAUUCAAAGAAAAUGCAUAAGAUGAAGCCAGGUAUGAUACCAUUACCUAGACCUGGGAUGAUGCCAUCUAACUUCAUGCCUAUGCCUAUGUAUAUCCAUACAGGAGGUAAGAAACCUAAGCAUAUGCAAGCCGUACCGAUACCAUUAGCUAUGGAAGAACCCAUUUAUAUGCCUUCCACCCGGCCCUUAAGUCCAGUUGCGUCUUACCAACCGGAACACUUUCCACACGAAGCAUAUCUGAUGCAACAGUACGCCAAUAACAAUGGUCCUAUGCCAACUAAGAAUAAAAAAGAUAAAAAGAAUAAGAAAAAAAAUUCAAUAAACGGUGUUAUACCUCCAAUUGCUGUAAACGGUAAUCGAGUCAACGGAAACCAAGUUAACGGUAAUGGGUUGUCUCACGAUGAAACAGACGACACCGAAGAUUCUGUGUAUAAUACUGGUAUUUAUCGACGAAAAGGUCAUUUGAAUGAAAGAGCAUUUUCGUAUUCAAUUCGCCAAGAGCAUAGGUCCAGAUCGUAUGGGUCGUUAGCUAAUUUGAAAUUUGCUGCACCUCCAAUGAUACCUAAUGGUGUCGACGGAGUUCCCAAAACGGAUAUAAAAAAGGAGAGAGAAAUCAUGCAGAUGAUGCAGGACUUAGAGCUGUCUGGAGAUGAACUAGAUAGGGUGGAUCAGGUGGUUCAUCAAAACAAAAUACAACAGCGACCUAUCAAAACCAAAAGAUAAUUGAUCAGACUCAACAUUAUCUAUGGACAGGUUACAAGGAUUGGUAGACAUGGGAAUACCUGUUCGCCAACAGCAACCCCAAGUGAGAGAGACUUAUCAACGGCGUAAAGUUACCAUUCAGGAACCUUUAUGGUACCAAGGGUACCAUCCCGUUAGAUUUUUAUCAUUGCAAUUUCAAAUAAAUCUUAACUAAAGAGAUUAGCAAUCGUUUUCGAACGCUUAUGGUGUAAAAUUUAACAUGAGUAUUAUUUAGCAUUCUUCAAUCGGUCAAGUAUUAAACCGUCGCUCAAUAAAUAUUUGGUUCACAAACAAAUCUCUAUGUUUACCGUUAAACUCGGUAUGAAGAAUUUUAUCAUGUUGAUUGAAACUCUAAUACAUAUUUAUUACAAUCAUCACAUAUCGAAAAUGUUCAUCAAAAUAAUCGGCUAUGAAAUUCCAAGACGAUUUUACUUUCAUGGCCCAAUUUUCAAUCACGACAUAGAGAAAUGGUAACAAAAAUAUAAUUAUCGUCAACAAUUUGAAGAUGCGUCUAUCACGACAUGUACUUGCUAUUAUUUUAUUGAGACUCGUUACAUGUUUAAAUAUUUUUUGAAACCUUUAAUUUUUUUGAUUAUAAUUUGUCUUAUAUUUCAUUUUGUUACUCAAUGGGGGAAAUGAAAAUUAAGAAAGGUUGAUAAGGGAAUAAUAGGUAGAUCGCCGCCUCUGAUAAGCCACCUAUAAAAAAAUGUCUUGAAAUAUAUAUUUUGUAUAGAGGUUACCCAAUUAAAUUUUAAAUCGUGAUAAAAUACUAAUGUAUCAUAGUAAAAUACAUCUUUCGAUGUGAUGUGAACUGUUCAAAUUCAAAAUGUACAGAUUAACCCACACACGCCCACUGCAAUAAUUGAAAACCGAUACAGCUGACAACAUUGAGAUUUGUGCUUUUAUAACAAUUGACGUUUUCGCUUUUCGAUGUUAGCAACAACAUUUUCGUGAACGAGCAGGUUGUUCUCACAAUUGUAUUCAAGUUUUUAAAUAACAAUUAGACAUAACAGUUGAACAUCCCAAAAUGUAACGACAUUAAAAAUAAAACUACCAUGUGUGGGGCAUUUUAAUCUCAAAGAGGUCGUCAUGGACGUCUAUCAUUAUCGAUCUUCAUGUACGUUGCACGGAUUGUGCCGGCAUAUUGUGAAGCAUGCUUAAUAAUCGCUACUUAUUAUACUGAUAAAAAGUGGGGAACAGUAGGAAAUUUCACGCAAGAGAAUAAAGAAUAAGAGAAUGUCGGACAAAACGGUCGGUAUACGAAGAGUAUUAGCCAAAAAUGGAAUACCUUUUUCACCAUCACACUUACAAAAUAUACCAAACAUGGCCAACACAACAAAUCAUUUUUGUCGAGUAUCAUUAAUUAUCACUAUUUUAUGUGUAUUAAUAAUAGUUUAUGUUAUUUUAUUUUUAAAUAGACCAUUUUUUAUAUGAUCACUUGUUUUAAAGUCUAUUUUAAAGGACAGACAGACUAUUUUAAAUACUAUCCAAACUUUAUGCGCGAGACCUACAAAAUGAAUGGUCUCAAGGACAAAUAAACGGUAACAAAACAAAUGACUACUGUGAGAAAACUACGCCUAUCUGUUCAUGCUUAAUAAUUUUUAGUUGUAUCUAACAAAUACUUAAGUUGUUUAUUGUUAUUGAUUAGACUUAAUGUUAUAUUUUAAAUAUUCAAACGUUUAUUUAGUCUGUACAGAUGCUAUAUUAUUAUUAUUACUAAAUUUUUUUUUACUUUUACUUUUACUUAAAACGCUAAACUCUAUAUUCUUGAAACUACUCGCUUAGCAAUUUGAUACCAGUUUUGUUUUUUGUAAAUAUAUUUAUGUAUUACAACUUUA
RNA transcript from Daktulosphaira vitifoliae (grape phylloxera), 4281 nucleotides. RefSeq lists it as uncharacterized. NCBI's taxonomy places the organism in Eukaryota, Metazoa, Arthropoda, Insecta, Hemiptera, Phylloxeridae. The transcript is spliced from 6 exons. The record is from RefSeq and is a predicted model, not a curated record.